RNAcentral lists this ribosomal RNA (84 nucleotides) under Candidatus Phocaeicola merdavium. Lineage: Bacteria; Pseudomonadati; Bacteroidota; Bacteroidia; Bacteroidales; Bacteroidaceae. The record is from RNAcentral.
CACCUCUUCCCAUUCCGAACAGAGAAGUUAAGCUUCGCAUCGCCGAUGGUACUGCGCAAGUGGGAGAGUAGGCAGCCGCCGUUU